UACGAAGGGGGCUAGCGUUGCUCGGAAUUACUGGGCGUAAAGCGUGCGCAGGCGGCUGCUCAAGUCAGGGGUGAAAGCCCAGAGCUCAACUCUGGAAUUGCCUUUGAGACUGAGUGGCUUGAGUACGGGAGAGGUGAGGUGGAAUUCCCGGUGUAGCGGUGAAAUGCGCAGAUAUCAGGAGGAACACCGGUGGCGAAGGCGGUUCUCUGGGCAUGUCCUGACGCUGAGGAGCGAAAGUGUGGGGAGCGAACAGG
RNAcentral lists this ribosomal RNA (254 nucleotides) under uncultured bacterium. RNAcentral's name for it is "partial 16S ribosomal RNA". It matches the Rfam family "Bacterial small subunit ribosomal RNA", at positions 524 to 776 of the family's 1533-position model. The record is from RNAcentral.